AUGGUUUCGGUUUCAUCCUCUCCGCCUCGUCGGAUCGUCGUGCCUGCACCAACCUGCCCAGCUCCAUGGUUAUUUCCCUGGGAGGAUUUCCUGCUCUCACGCGCUGCUCAGUCUCCAGUUCAGCCGCGCGCUGCUCAGUCUCCAGUUCAGCCGCGCGCUGCUCAGUCUCCAGUUCAGCCGCGCGCUGCUCAGCCUCCAAGUCAGCCGCGCGCUGCUCAGUUUCCAGUUCAGCCGCGCGCUGCUCAGUCUCCAGAUCAGCCGCGCGCUGCUCAGUCUCCAGUUCAGCCGCGCGCUGUUCAAUCUCCAGCUCAAUCGUGCUUUGCCCAGUCUCCUGCUCAAUCGUGUUUUCCCCAGUCUCCAGCCCAAGCUCCAGACGCCGCGGCCCCGUUUCACCAUGCGGAUCCCGGUACAGAGGUCCGGUCCACACCGCGCCCAGCGCCUCAAACGACGGACAGUCGCAGCUGCUCCGGACGGCGACGGCGGCGGCGCGGGUCCAGGAUCCCGGGUCCCGCGGUCUCGGUCAUGGGGACCGAGCAGCCUUCUUCCCCGACAGAGGAGCCCCUUAAUUCUCUGACUGACUGUGUCCCUCUGAUAACAGGCAUCCCAGACAGCGUCGCCCGACGGGUCCACCUCCUCUGCUCUCCUCCAGUUGCCUUUCUCUUCGCCCACCUCAUGAACACCGCCAAUUCGGCUACAGACCAGGGCGCGAGAGAACAACUGUUCGAGGAAGCAGCCGCUCUCGUCCGGAGGGAGCCUGUCCUGCGUGAGGCCCUGCAACUCCCGGGCCUGCAGCCAGCGGUCGCUUCAUGCCCCACCUCUCAGUCAGCGGUCGUUCCAGUCCCCGUCACCCGUGGAGCCGCAGCGCCCGCCGGUCCCCAGGAGGAGGUCGCGCUAGCCGCAGUUCCUGCGCACCUCCAGGAGGAGGUCGCGCCAGCUACAGCUCCUGCGCACCUCCAGGAGGAGGUCGCGCCAGCUACAGCUCCUGCGCACCUCCAGGAGGAGGUCGCGCCAGCCGCAGUUCCUGCGCACCUCCAGGAGGAGGUCGCGCUAGUCGCAGUUCCUGCGCACCUCCAGGAGGAGGUCGCGCUAGUCGCAGUUCCUGCGCACCUCCAGGAGGAGGUCGCGCCAGUCGCAGUUCCUGCGCACCUCCAGGAGGAGGUCGCGCCAGUCGCAGUUCCUGCGCACCUCCAGGAGGAGGUCGCGCCAGUCGCAGUUCCUGCGCACCUCCAGGAGGAGGUCGCGCCAGUCGCAGUUCCUGCGCACCCCCAGGAGGAGGUCGCGCCAGUCGCAGUUCCUGCGCACCUCCAGGAGGAGGUCGCGCCAGUCGCAGUUCCUGCGCACCUCCAGGAGGAGGUCGCGCCAGUCGCAGUUCCUGCGCACCUCCAGGAGGAGGUCGCGCCAGUCGCAGUUCCUGCGCACCUCCAGGAGGAGGUCGCGCCAGUCGCAGUUCCUGCGCACCUCCAGGAGGAGGUCGCGCCAGUCGCAGUUCCUGCGCACCUCCAGGAGGGGCGCGCCGCGCAGUUCCUGCCUGCGCACCUCCAGGAGGAGGUCGCGCCAGUCGCAGUUCCUGCGCACCUCCAGGAGGAGGUCGCGCCAGUCGCAGUUCCUGCGCACCUCCAGGAGGAGGUCGCGCCAGCCGCAGUUCCUGCGCACCUCCAGGAGGAGGUCGCGCCAGCCGCAGUUCCUGCGCACCUCCAGGAGGAGGUCGCGCCAGCCGCAGUUCCUGCGCACCUCCAGGAGGAGGUCGCGCCAGCCGCAGUUCCUGCGCACCUCCAGGAGGAGGUCGCGCCAGCCGCAGUUCCUGCGCACCUCCAGGAGGAGGUCGCGCCAGCCGCAGUUCCUGCGCACCUCCAGGAGGAGGUCGCUCCCGUCGUAGCUCCUGCCGACCUCCAGGAGGGGGUCGCUCCCGCCGUAGCUCCUGCCGACCUCCAGGAGGGGGUCGCUCCCGUCCCGGCUCCGGCCGCAUCUGCAUCGGUCCCUGGCGGUCCGGCUCCGGCCGCAUCUGCUUCGGUUCCUGCCUCUCGUCGCGGUGGUCCAAGGAGGACGCCGCUGGUUCCUGCCUCGUCUCUGCCUUUGCUGCCGGACUGGUGGCCUCGCCCUCGGCGCAUCCUGCUGCUGGGAUGGCGCUGCCUCCUGCGGCGCCGUCCGCCUCGACUCCUCAACCGCCUGGAUCAGCGUCCGCCUGGUGGACGCUGCCAUGCGGGGUGGUCCCCGGGGACAUCGUCACAGCUCAAGGGCACUAAGAGUGCCAUCCUGGCUCAGCGGCUGCUGAGCAGGAUCUCGCCACGCCGUCACCCUCCGUGACGGAAUCCCUGGACUUUUUUUUAUUUUCCUGUUCAUGGACUUUGAGGUUUUCGUGUGGACUCUUGUUUUGGCCCUCCUCCGGUCCUCCCUCCACCCACCCUGCUCAUGUACCUUGAGGGGUAGGGAUUCGGUCCCUCCGCCUGGGACCACCCUCCGCCCGCCCUGGUUUGGGGGGGGAGGCUUCCGUAGGCGCCGUGGAAGGCGCCAUAGGGGGGGGGGGUACUGUCAUGAUCCGUGUCUUUGUUUCUAGUUGUUCCCUGUUUUCACGUCAUGUCCUGCUUGUCUUAUUUUGGUUCCAGUUUCCGUUUCCUGUUUUAUUUUGGUAGUCUCCCGGUCUCUGUUUUGUGUUCUAGCUUUACUUCCGGUUUCUUGUCUUGUCACAGCUGUCCCUGCUCAUUACCCACACCUGCACUCUGUUAGUCAUCAAGUCACUGUGUAUUUAACCACCACCUGUGUCCUUAGUUCCCUGCCAGAUUGUCGUAUUCGAGUUCCCUGAGUGUUCGUGUUUCUUGUGAGUUGAGCGUCCCUAGUCUCCUGAGUUCCCUGCGUGUUCGUGUUUUUCGUGUUUAUUCCUGUUUGCACCAUGUAUCCUGCCUGACCCUGGAGUAUCUACUGACCGUGAGUUUUUGCCUGUUCCCUGCCUGUACUUUUGUCGAGCCAUUUCGUGUAUGACCUGGACCGUCUGACCGUGCCUUAAGAAUAAACCUUUCUGAUCGUAAUCCUGCCUCUGUGCU
Long non-coding RNA from Betta splendens (Siamese fighting fish), 3038 nucleotides. Lineage: Eukaryota; Metazoa; Chordata; Actinopteri; Anabantiformes; Osphronemidae. The record is from Ensembl.